This 72-nucleotide transfer RNA is filed under the name Synechococcaceae cyanobacterium SM2_3_1. RNAcentral's name for it is "tRNA-Gly". It matches the Rfam family "tRNA". From Rfam's summary of the family: Transfer RNA (tRNA) molecules are approximately 80 nucleotides in length. Their secondary structure includes four short double-helical elements and three loops (D, anti-codon, and T loops). Lineage: Bacteria; Bacillati; Cyanobacteriota; Cyanophyceae; Synechococcales; Synechococcaceae. The record is from RNAcentral.
GCGGAUGUAGCUCAGUGGUAGAGCUUCUCGUUGCCAACGAGAUGGUCGGGCGUUCGAAUCGCCUCAUCCGCU